RNAcentral lists this ribosomal RNA (1229 nucleotides) under Amblyomma mixtum. RNAcentral's name for it is "16S ribosomal RNA". The stretch from base 818 to 1132 matches the Rfam family "Archaeal large subunit ribosomal RNA", at positions 2155 to 2712 of the family's 2987-position model. Lineage: Eukaryota; Metazoa; Arthropoda; Arachnida; Ixodida; Ixodidae. The record is from RNAcentral.
UUUUAUUAAAAUACAAAAGAAGAUUUAAUUUUUAAAUUUAGAAAAAAUAAUUAAAAGGUAAGUUAAAACAAAAUAAUAUUUUACUGAAAAGGAAUAAUUUUAAUAAGAAAAAAGUAAAUUUUUGUACCUUUUGUAUUAGGGAAUUUUUAAAAAAAUUAAAAUUUUAUUUUUCUCGAAAUAAUUUGAUCAAUUUAGUUUAAUAAUUUUUAUUGUUUCAACAAUAAACGCAAAUUCUAAAUAGAAGUGAAAUUCUUGUCAAAAUUUAAGUUAACUAGUUUUGAAAUUGGGUAACAAACCUUUCUGUUAUAAUAUUUUAUUUUUUAAAAUAACAGAUGAUUUUUUUAGGGAUAAGCUUAAAAAAUUUUUUUAAAAUUUUAAAAAAAUCUGUUGAAUAAGGAAUAAAAUUUUCCUUUAAAUUAUUAUAAGUACUUUUAAAAAAAUAAAAUCAAUUUAUUUAAAUAUUUUAAAACAAAAAAUUAAUUUUUCUUUUUUCUAAACAUAAAAUUAUUAGUAUAAUAACAUAUUUUUUAUUUUUUUUAAAAAAAUUUAAAAAUAAAUUUAAUAAAAUAAGUUUAACGAACUCGGCAAAAAAUUUUCCUGACUGUUUAAUAAAAACAUUUCAUUUAGAUAAAAAAUAAAUAAAUGAAAAUCCUGCUCAAUGAAUUUAAAUUUAAAUUGCUGUAGUAUUUUGACUAUACAAAGGUAUUGAAAUAAGACUUUAAUUGAGUGCUAAGAGAAUGGAAUUACAGGAAAAAUCUUUUUUAAACUUAACAAUUAAAGUUAUUUUUACUUGUGAAGAAACAGUAAUAAAAAUUAAGGACAAGAAGACCCUAUGAAUUUUUAGAAACAUAUUUCAAUAAAGAAGAUAUGUUUCUUUAAUUGGGGCGAUUAAUUAAUAUUAAAAACUUUUUUGAAAAAACAUGAACCGUUUAAUAACGGUAAUUUGGUAAAAAUACUCUAGGGAUAACAGCGUAAUAAUUUUCGAUAGUUCAUAUUGACAAAAUAGUUUGCGACCUCGAUGUUGGAUUAGGAUAUUUUUUUGAUGAAGAAGUUAAAAAAAAAAGUUUGUUCAACUUUUAAUUUCCUACAUGAUCUGAGUUUAAACCGAUGAGAAUCAGGUUGGUUUCUAUCUUAAUAAAAUUAAAAUUGAAAAUUAGUACGAAAGGAAUUUUUUCAAAAAAAAAUUUUUUUAAGAGUUAACAGUUUUUGCAUCAAUUUUUGGAAUUUAA